RNAcentral lists this ribosomal RNA (513 nucleotides) under uncultured bacterium. RNAcentral describes it as "partial 16S ribosomal RNA". It matches the Rfam family "Bacterial small subunit ribosomal RNA", at positions 28 to 507 of the family's 1533-position model. The record is from RNAcentral.
GACGAACGCUGGCGGCGUGCUUAACACAUGCAAGUCGAACGAAAAGAGGGAAAGAGCUUGCUCUUUCCGGAAUUGAGUGGCAAACGGGUGAGUAACACAUAAACAACCUGCCUUCAGGAUGGGGACAACAGACGGAAACGACUGCUAAUACCGAAUAAGUUCCAAGGGCCGCAUGGCCCAUGGAAGAAAAGGUGGCCUCUACCUGUAAGCUAUCGCCUGAAGAGGGGUUUGCGUCUGAUUAGCUGGUUGGAGGGGUAACGGCCCACCAAGGCGACGAUCAGUAGCCGGUCUGAGAGGAUGAACGGCCACACUGGAACUGAGACACGGUCCAGACUCCUACGGGAGGCAGCAGUGGGGAAUCUUCCGCAAUGGGCGAAAGCCUGACGGAGCAACGCCGCGUGAGUGAUGACGGCCUUCGGGUUGUAAAACUCUGUGAUCCGGGACGAAAAGGCAGAGUGCGAAGAACAAACUGCAUUGACGGUACCGGAAAAGCAAGCCACGGCUAACUACGUG